CAGGACGAACGCUGGCGGCGUGCUUAACACAUGCAAGUCGAGCGAUGAAGCUCCUUCGGGAGUGGAUAGCGGCGGACGGGUGAGUAACACGUGGGUAACCUGCCUCAUAGAGGGGAAUAGCCUUUCGAAAGGAAGAUUAAUACCGCAUAUGGUAGCUUUAUCGCAUGGUAAUGCUAUUAAAGGAGUAAUCCGCUAUGAGAUGGACCCGCGUCGCAUUAGCUAGUUGGUGAGGUAACGGCUCACCAAGGCGACGAUGCGUAGCCGACCUGAGAGGGUGAUCGGCCACAUUGGGACUGAGACACGGCCCAGACUCCUACGGGAGGCAGCAGUGGGGAAUAUUGCACAAUAGGGGAAACCCUGAUGCAGCAACGCCGCGUGAGUGAUGACGGCCUUCGGGUUGUAAAACUCUGUCUUUGGGGACGAUAAUGACGGUACCCAAGGAGGAAGCCACGGCUAACUACGUGCCAGCCGCAGC
RNAcentral lists this ribosomal RNA (475 nucleotides) under uncultured bacterium. RNAcentral describes it as "bacterial SSU rRNA". It matches the Rfam family "Bacterial small subunit ribosomal RNA", at positions 25 to 518 of the family's 1533-position model. The record is from RNAcentral.